GAUAAACCGAUGAGAAAGAGUAGUAGUCAGGAGCAGAAGGAUUUUAAGAGAGCUGCAGAUGGUGGGAUUGCAGCAUGAAUUCCCUGAUGAAUGGACUUUCGAGGGCAGUUCUGAACCACAGUAGGAGUUGCCGGGCACCCGACCCGUUACACAACAGGGCAUAUAUGAUGGUAUAUGAAAAGAGUGGGCAUUUUUUAUGAUGCCAAUUUGAGUGGUACCGCGGAUAUCCGCCUCAAGC
Molecule: non-coding RNA, 238 nt
Filed under: Anaerostipes sp.
Lineage: Bacteria; Bacillati; Bacillota; Clostridia; Lachnospirales; Lachnospiraceae
Description: T-box sequence
Rfam family: T-box leader
About the family: Uncharged tRNA acts as the effector for transcription antitermination of genes in the T-box leader family. T-boxes are found upstream of many aminoacyl-tRNA synthetase genes and some amino acid biosynthetic genes usually in Gram-positive bacteria.
Source: RNAcentral